GAUGAACGCUGGCGGCGUGCCUAAUACAUGCAAGUCGAGCGAACAGACGAGGAGCUUGCUCCUCUGACGUUAGCGGCGGACGGGUGAGUAACACGUGGAUAACCUACCUAUAAGACUGGGAUAACUUCGGGAAACCGGAGCUAAUACCGGAUAAUAUAUUGAACCGCAUGGUUCAAUAGUGAAAGACGGUUUUGCUGUCACUUAUAGAUGGAUCCGCGCCGCAUUAGCUAGUUGGUAAGGUAACGGCUUACCAAGGCAACGAUGCGUAGACGACCUGAGAGGGUGAUCGCCCACACUGGAACUGAGACACGGUCCAGACUCCUACGGGAGGCAGCAGUAGGGAAUCUUCCGCAAUGGGCGAAAGCCUGACGGAGCAACGCCGCGUGAGUGAUGAAGGUCUUCGGAUCGUAAAACUCUGUUAUUAGGGAAGAACAAAUGUGUAAGUAACUAUGCACGUCUUGACGGUACCUGAUCAGAAAGCCACGGCUAACUACGUG
RNAcentral lists this ribosomal RNA (497 nucleotides) under uncultured bacterium. Its description in RNAcentral is "partial 16S ribosomal RNA". It matches the Rfam family "Bacterial small subunit ribosomal RNA", at positions 28 to 507 of the family's 1533-position model. The record is from RNAcentral.